This is a long non-coding RNA of Xiphophorus hellerii (green swordtail), 2899 nucleotides long. RefSeq lists it as uncharacterized. NCBI's taxonomy places the organism in Eukaryota, Metazoa, Chordata, Actinopteri, Cyprinodontiformes, Poeciliidae. The record is from RefSeq and is a predicted model, not a curated record. The transcript is spliced from 3 exons.
CUUGGCAGUAUGGGAUCUCCUUAAAGAUGUGGUCUUCACUUUGUAAACCCUCCCGUCUGGUCGCCCGGAGCGACAGGUGGCAUUGUUCCCACAGAGACAGUUGCCGUGAUGUGGCACGCUCCUGAGGGCGUAACCUGUGCGUACAGACGCGGACACACCAGCCUCUUUGCUAAGCUGCUUCCUGUGUGUGUGUGUGUGUGUGUGUGUGUGUGUGUGUGUGUUGCUGCCAGACAGGCGGUGUCGCGUCAGGAAGCGCUCCGUCUCUCUUCAGGUCACGUUGCUGCAGCUCUUCAGGCAGCCAGGUGUUGAACUCUUGAAGUUUCUCACGUGAAGCAGACGCUUGCUGCUGCUACCGUCUAGUCUGAAGAGAACCGCCCAAAAGUGUUUUUACUGUGACCUUCGGGGGGAUAAGGAUUCAGAGGAGCCAGCAGAGCAGACGGGGUCUUUCCUGAACUUCAAAUCCAUUCACUUUGGAAGCCAUUCAAAUAUUUUAAUAGCUGAGGUUUGAAAACUCAUCAUUUCUUUUCAACCCCUCUGCUGUCAGUUGCUGCUUCAUGUGUAGUAGGGGGAGGUACAUCAUAUUAUGUGACCGUCAUCGAAAAUAAAGCUCAAAAAUAUAAUUUAUUUCCAAAAUGUUCAAUUUGUACUCCUGUAGAGGUGGAUUUUCACUAUUUCCUCCUCUAGUUACAUUCUUAAAGGGGCGGUAUCGUGUAGAAUUGACUUUUGUAAUCGCGUUACAUCAUGUUAUAAUGUUAUUCAAUCAUCGUAAUAACAUCUGGAGUGUUGCUUUGAUUCUUUCAUGCAUGUUUGAGAAAUCCUUUAAUCUCCAUAACACCUUUAAUCAGAUGAGCAAAACGCCCAGUUGGACCUAGCUCCGCCUUCGAGGACGAAGCUCCUCCACAGUCGCCGAUGUUCUGCCUCAAAGAGCAUCCCUCCCCCCGCGACUCCCCCACUCGGCUCCUUCAGACUAGCCAGCAGCAAUUAGCAGACACCUGGUGGAACUGCUCACCUUCUGAGCUCAUUAUCAGCUACUUCUCAAUUAAAUGCUCUUAAGAACGCUGUAAAAGGCUUAAUGGAGUAACGGUGUUGUGAUGACUCCCUGAAGGCGUAGUGUCGGAAAGAGCAGGAGCUUCUUAAAGAGACAGAGGCCAAAUUUCAAGGCGUUAAAUUCAAAGUCAAAUUUCUUUUGAGUCAUGUUUGGUAUUAUAUGCCAUGUAGGAUAUAUUUUUAUAACAACUGAAGGUAACAUAGUUUCUUAGUUGUGCUACAAAAUGAUUCUAUGUGCAUAAUACUGCCCUUUUAAAUCUGCUUCAGUCAGUACAAGUGAAGCUUUAUACUGGGACCUCAACGUGAAAAAAUAUAUAUUGUUCAUGUAAUUGGCUGUGUUUCCAUUUAAAGAAGCUAAAGAUAAGAAAACUUUAAUGAUGGGGUUGAAUUUGUGCUUCAUUUAUCAAGUUUGGUUUAGAUAUUACAGACUGGAGAGUCUCACCAGAGGAAGACAGCAUCAACUCUCCUUUCAUAUUUUCACACAUCGCCUAUAUUCGAAAAAAAAUGAGAUGAGUCCAACAUAGAUUUCUUUUAAUUUGUUCAAAUUUUACUCUGUCUUUCAAGCAUUGAUCAGAGUCGCUGUGGAGGAGCCUCACAGAUCCACAGCCAACGUUGAACAAUCUGUCUGCCGGUUUACACUCCACAAAUCUGGAAUUUCUACGAGAAAAAAGUUGGAAAAAAAAAGUCCUGCUUGCAACAUUUAAACACCUGUUGAUACGUACAAAGAGGUGGCAUAGAUUUAUAACAGUAAGAAAAGUGAAAACCAUGUUAUUUUUUCUUGUACUUCUCAAUGGCGCUCACGUGUUGAUCUGUUAUACAUCAUUGCAGUAAAAUAGGUUAAAGAUUGUUGUUUCAAUGUGACAAAAUGUAAAAAAAAUAAAAAAAACAAUUAAAGUUUUCCAAAUGUCAGAGAGCUAACACUGAUUUCGGCUCCUAAAAUAAAAAGUCACGCCUCUUUGUCUUGUCUUUCCGUCAUUAAAAACGGGCGUGGUGCAACCUUUGUGUUUUCAUUAAUCUGGUCCGUGUUGAAAAUCCAGUGACUUUCCUCUGACCUUUGACCUGCUGCCACCAGCUUUGUUGACGUUGUGAAAUGAUAUCCAGAAAAAAAAAAAAAAAGUGUUUGUUUUGAAAAUCUCCAGGACUCCCCCUGUGCGCUUCCUGUGUCCGACUUCCUACCUGGUUAAUCUGCUGUCUGCAGGCAAAGAAAACAAAGGCGUCCCUGGUCCAGAGAAAGAGGACGGGCAAGCCAGAAGGAAAGGAGGGGAAAGCAAAAAAAGCCGAGGACAAUAGUCAUUCUGUCCCCAGAGAGGGCCUCCAGCCAUACUUCUGCCAGAGACAGGAAGUCCAGCAUAAUGUUUGCCAAACCGGAGGCUACGAGGGGUUCCCUAAAGGAAACCUGAGACAGCGGGACACCGGAUCACAGAAGGGACCCGGGCCCCCCUUUCUGCAUGUGCAGGUACAAUGGAACCUGCUGCUCCGAGGACCAUUCAUCACCGGCGAGGGACACGGACCCACUGUGUGUACAGUGACAUCACUGAACAGUAAAAUAUGUCCUAUAAUGCGCUUUCCCGAAGACGUAGGAAAAGUAGAGGUCACAUCUUCUUCCAUCGUAAAGCACGAUGAGCGACAGGGUGGAACAUGAGACCGCCUUAUGGAUACAUGAAAAAAAGUUUCAAUUCAGAAGUUGCUUUGAGUUAAAAAAAACAAAAACAAACAACAAAAAAAAAACACCAACAACUUUGGAGCAUUUGAUGUUUAUGAUGUUUAAAUGUAAAUUAAGUUUUGAACAAAUUAGUGAUAUUUUUUUUUAAUGACAGAGUAUUAGGAAAACGCUAAGAAAAUGAAAAUAAGA